UCCCCCGAUCGUCCCGCUUCAGCCGCCCCUUCAUCGCGGUGUCGUCGUUACGAAAGCUGUAGCGAUAUGUAUGCCUUGAAUACGCGUGAGAAACACACACACAAUCUUGCCUGUCGUGAUACAAUUAUCGUUCAUUAAGAGUUAAUUAAUUGUUAAUUAUAAUGAUCAUGACAUAUUAUGUUCCGAUAUUUGUCGCAAUCACGUGUAGAAGAGAAAUUUAGCAAUAUACGGAACGUCUCGCAUUUUUUUUGUUUGGAAUUUUUUCAAAUUGUGGUUUGUUAAACAUGACGUACAGAAAUAAAUGACACGCAUGUAGCGCGCGCUUUGUAAUAUGUAUUCUAAUAUACUUAGAAAAAUUUUAGAAAUUUUUGGUAUGGCGAUUCUUGGAAUUUUAGUCCAUGCCACUUCAUUCUAUUUUCCUGAUACUUUUCCAAUUUUCAAGAAUUUAUUUUUUAGCGAAUUGAUAAAUAGUGAUAUCGGUGUAAAUCUUAAUUAUCAAUGGUUGAUAAUUAUCAGAGAUUUAAAACUUAAUUAUUACAAAGCAGUUCCCUCUAUAUAGGACUAAAGGAAGAUGUAUUUAAAUUUUGUGAUUUUACGAGAUGAAAGUUUUAUCCUCGACGCAUUUAUCUCUAUCGCGUAUUCACGUUUAUAUAUCAUAUAUAUAUAUAUAUUCACGCGGUUCAUUAUUCUCUUAUCCCAAGUUAUUUUCGUAUAGCUCCCUGUGCUGAGGGGAUCGGUUUACCUUGCCGUGUACAAGCGCGCGUCCGCGCGAUGUGUAUCUACAGGUAUACUCGGCCCGGAUUAUCUCUUAUCACCUGCCUGCCAGGAGGGAGGGAUAUGAAGCUUUUGGGGUAUGACUGUUGUCAUGGUUACAGAGCAUACACCGAGCUAUCCACUGAUAAGCGGAUCAGGUGAGACAUCAUUCUAAGGCGACGAUUCAACGUGUGUUAUUGCUCCAAAUGCAGCAAUAGCGUAAUCGUGUUAUUUUGGGCAUAAAUUGUGUUAUUUAUUCUUUAUAUAUGUAACGAACAAUUGUAUAUCUUUUUAUUAAAUAGUAAAACGCCUUUAUUAUAAAAAAUAAAUAAAUGACACAAGUUAUGCUUUCAAUUAUUUUAUUCGUUAAUUUUUAUUUUUAUAAUGUAUUAAAAAAUAGAAUUAUACCACUACAGGGGAUUGGAUUUAACAAGUCCUACAAAUUUUAGGAAACUUUCUAAGACGGGAAUUAAUCAGGGGAUUCCGUAGAAAUUACAUGUGAUUACAAAACAAAUAUGUUAAAGAAUGAUAAUUUUUUUAAUUAGAGCAUCUGAUAACUCCCUCUACAAUGAUAUUAUUAUAAAGUUUUCGUAGUCGCUGUUAACUACGCCAUUGCUACGCGAGGGAGCAUAUGUGACUCGCACCGAGAUUAGCUGAGAUAUUUUAUUAUCGCCGAAAAUACACAAGAAUGAACUUUCCUCCGGUCGUUCACUGACUCUUUGCCUCAUCAGCUAGGUAAUGUUUUUAUGGAUAUAACAGCGCAAAUCCCGUGUUAAUCAUAUGAUUCGGAAAGUCCAACCUGAUAAUUCUAUAAGUAUAUUAUCCGGCUUUUAAACAACGCGACGGAUGCAAGUUUGAGGAAACAACAUGAGUAGGACGCUUCAUAUUACGCGAUUGUGCAUGAUAAUGCACAUUGUAUCGGCCCUUUCUUUUGUCAUAAUAUGUCAUUUUCUUUCUCAUUAUUAUCUUUAUAAUUAACAUUGUAAUUAUAUAAUUAACAUUAUAACAAUAUAUAUAUAUAAAUCGUUUAACUUUAGUGAUGAUCUCAGUUAUUUCUAAAUUUUUAAAUGUCUUUCAAAUGCAAACUUAUAUAUAGAUUUUAAAAGUAAUAUGAUUACGUAUAAAUUGAAGGCAUCGGUAAAGCUUCUUGGCUUCGUUUUUUAAAUAUCCCUUUUUAUUUAAAAAUAACUGAUGCUUUGAUAUACAACAUUCUAAAAAUAUAUUACAUGAAAUAUAUUGAUACAUUUGCACCAUUUGCGAAAUACGAUGCGUUGCUACGGAAGGAAAGAAAUUAUAUUAUAUAGUCGCAUAUAUUAGUCUUAUGAUGCCAUCGGGAGAAGGAGAGGGAUAUGUUCAUUCGUCUAAUAUAUGCUAUUAUCGUUACAUGCUUAUUGUCUAGUUGUGUAUUACAUUAUUCUUAUUUUUUUUUAAACAUUUUCACGUGAUAUCGCUUAUAUCAUAUAUAACAAAGGCACUAUAUAUCCGCCAUAAGAUCCUUAUGGUUUUAUCUAUCUAGUCUUACGCUCGAACGAUAUAUAAGAAUAUACGUCUAAUCUUACAUAUAAAUUCCCGUUUAUAUAUAUAUAUGUAUGUAUAUCUAUAUAUACAGAUACAACAAUAUUUUCUGCAAUUUGGUAUUGUCUUAGAUGUCGAUUCGCAAGACUCGUUAGUAAAGUCCUCUUUGGUAAAAAAAA
Long non-coding RNA from Formica exsecta, 2447 nucleotides. RefSeq lists it as uncharacterized. The transcript is spliced from 2 exons. NCBI's taxonomy places the organism in Eukaryota, Metazoa, Arthropoda, Insecta, Hymenoptera, Formicidae. The record is from RefSeq and is a predicted model, not a curated record.